This 8948-nucleotide long non-coding RNA is filed under the name Eutrema salsugineum. RNAcentral's name for it is "long non-coding RNA (ESAL_LNC000110)". The record is from RNAcentral. Lineage: Eukaryota; Viridiplantae; Streptophyta; Magnoliopsida; Brassicales; Brassicaceae.
AAAAAAAAAACAUGUAUAUUCAGAUUCUGUUUAUGGUAAAUCUUUUUGUUUUUCCAGUUUUGUCUCAUACAUAAUUGUUCAGGAACAAAAGUAUUAUUUAUUUGAUCCUAAGAUUCUCAUUUUGAAUAUUUUUGCUCUGUUUUGAGGAUUUUACUUUUUGACUCUGUUUUCUUAUAAAAUUUCUAAUUAAAAGUCAAAACAUAUAUAUAUAUAUAUAUAUAUAUGUAUUUUUUUGUAAUUUCAGAUUCUGUGAAUUGUCAAUUUCUCCACUUUUUAUAUUUACAUAUAUUAUAUAUACAGCCAAUUUGUCUUGUUAGAUACAUAUAUAUUUUGGCUCUGUUUUGAGGAUGAUACAUUUUAACUCUGUUUUCUCAAUUUAUAAAAAUGCAUUUCUUUUUCUCUGUGUGUUUUAAAUUUAAAACAUAAAGGUUUGAUUCUAAUGAAUAAGAGUUUGAUGUUGAAAUGUGCAAAAAAUAAAAACAGGUUUUGUCAGUGACGAAAGCAUUGUCGAUUCAAGCACAUCCAAACAAAGCCUUAGCAGAGAAAUUGCAUAGAGAAGAUCCUCUUCUUUACAGAGAUGCUAACCAUAAGCCUGAGAUUGCUCUCGCCAUUACUCCUUUUCAAGCUCUUUGUGGUUUCGUAUCUCUUAAUGUACUAGAUUCUUCACUUCUCUGCAAACAUCUAAUUUAGUCGGUUUUUGAUUUAGAUAACUUCGGUUAUUUUGCCUAUCACAUAUGCUAAAUCCAAAAUUGAACCGGUUCUGUACCACUUUUGAUAUCAAAUUCAGGAGCUGAAGGAAGCCAUCGCCAAUGUACCAGAAAUCACAGAGCUUGUCGGAAGUAAAGCAGCAGAUCAAAUCUUCAAAGUCAACGAACACGAUGGAGACGAAACAAGUGUUAAAUCCGUUGUCCGUUUGAUUUUCACGCAAUUGAUGUCUGCAAACAUCAAUGAUACAAAGCAAGUCAUAUCACAGAUGAAGAUUCGUCUGAUCUCAGAAACAAACCACCGUGAGUUAUCGGAGAAGGAGAAGUUAGUAUUGGAACUAGAGAAACAGUAUCCAGGUGACGUGGGCGUGAUCUCAGCAUUCUUCUUUAACCACGUCAAGCUUAAUCCCGGAGAGGCUUUGUAUCUUGACGCCAACGAGCCACACGCUUACAUUUCCGGCGACUGUGUUGAGUGUAUGGCGGCUUCAGACAACGUUGUUAGAGCUGGUCUCACUCCGAAACACCGCGAUGUUCAAACUCUGUGUUCUAUGCUGACCUACAAAUUGGUAACUUUCUUUACACGUUAACGUUUUUUUUGGUUUAGUUGGCUAGCAAAAUUUGGAUUGUACCCUAACCCUAACCAAAACCGAAAAUUUAUUUUUCUUUGUUUGGUUAUUGAUUAAUUGUACCGGAUUUGUUUCAGGGCUACCCGGAGAUUUUGAAAGGAUUUCCUCUGACUCCAUACAUUACGAGAUACCUUCCACCAUUUGAUGAGUUUGAAGUGGACCAUUGUGAUCUUCCUAGAGAGAAAUCCACUGUUUUUCCGGCCAUACCAGGGCCAUCGGUUUAUCUGGUUAUUGAAGGAAAAGGGACAUUGAAAACCGGUUCAUCUCAAUUGUUGGUUAAACGAGGAGAUGUUUUGUUUGUUCCGGCACAUAACGAGAUUCACGUAACCGGAGAAAGUGAUGUGAUGAAGCUUUACAGAGCUGGAGUCAGCAGCAGAUUCUUUCAAACAAUGUAGACUAAGUAAAGAUACAUAUAUAUAUAUUUAAUUUGUUAUCUAAAUGUAACCAUAGGGAUCAAGGCAUUGACGUGAUCAUAGUCAAUAUUGGUCCAUGUUCUUUAAUCCUACAAAUGUCCCAUUACGAAUCAAGGGUUCAAGGGGUUGUUUUUCUAUUAACUUUUGUUGUUUCUUCUACACCUUUAAAAUUGAAUUAUAUAUGUAAAAUGAUUAUAAAACAAUGUUUUUUUUUUUACUUUUUGCUAUUGUAGUGUAGUAACUAGUAAUUAUUCUUCCUUUACCUGUUUAAACUUUAAUUUCUAGAACUACUCUGCAAAAGCACAUUUGUUCAGUUGUAAUAUGUAGAGAUCGAACCACAGAGACGAGAAAUUCGCUCAAUAAACCUAAUAGACUCUAAUUGCGCUAAGAAGAAAUAAUGAAAUUGAGAGCAGCAAUGCAAUAAAAAACGGUUUUAAAUUCGAUGGGAAAGAAUUAGGCUCAGGGUGUUUCACAGAAAAUCAGAGAAUGCAGACAAAUCGAUUAGUCAUGAUUCAGAUUUAAGCGCAAUUCUUGAACUCAAAUCACGAAAUUAUAAUUAACUAACUUUUGUUGCGAAAAUUAUUUAAAUCUAAAUCCCAGAAUCCCAAUUUUCUUUGCAAUCCUAAAGAUAUAAAUUAGCCUUAAGUGCAGGUUCGAUAUGUUCACAAAGUGUCUAAACCAAUUUUUUUUGUGGAUAGCUACUUUGCUCAUCCUAGGUUCUUUCGGAUUAUUCAAUUACAGUUUCGUGUCAAUCAAUUAACCUAAGAUCUAAGUUCUAGGUGAUCAGUCCAAAAUUAGCUUUAAGAAUAAUCUAUGGUGAAUUACUAAUCAGAUUAUGACCCCUAACUAAUUAAUUAUCUAAAAUUCAAAGGGAUCCCUUAUGAGAACCCUAAACCUAACAAACAAACUACUCAAAUAUGGAGAUUGAAUCAAUAAACAUGAAUGAAUAGAUUGCAGAAAGCAGUAAAAAGAUUAAUAAACAGAGGUUCAAAAUCUUCUCUCAAACAAACAGAGUCUCAGACUUGUCUCCCUAAAAGCUCUCUCAAGAUCAAUAGAAAUCAAAAGUCUCAAAGAAAAUCUAGAGUGUAGCCAAAACACGUGGCUGAAAACCCUAUCAAAAGCUAAAACACAUGUUGGACUUCCCUGUAAAUAUUGGAGACUUCUGGGCUCAAGAGAUUCUUUAAAACUUAGACAAAAUCACGUUUUUCCUUAUUCACGACAUUGGUGUCGAGCAACACCAAAACAUAUAAAUCAUCUUUCACGAAUUUGAUCCCUGCUUAGUUCCAAAAUGCUCUAAAAUCUCCAAUUAAACUCCAAAUACAUUUAAGACCUGAAAAGACUCCAAAAAAUUAAAAAAACACUAAAGAGACUCUAUAAAUAAAACCUAUCAUGAUCAAAAACCAUAAAAAAAAACCAUGAUAUAUCAUUCUCCAUGAUAAGCAUUUUUCGAAUGGUCUGAGUCGAACAAAACAAUGUUCUCUAAAGUAUAAGGCCAAUUCUUUUUGCCUCCCUCGUCACUUACCUUUUGUUUGUGGCUUCCAUGGCAUAGACUAGAGAGAUGACCCCGAGAAGACCUAAUCUAGCACGCAUUUGUUUGGAUGUUGCUAAUGUUCCGUUUUAAAGUACAUAUGCAAAGAUCGUGGAAAGUAAAACGAACUCAAUCUUAAGUCUUGAGACAAUGAUUUUUGCCAAUUUUCCGGUAAGCUUUCCCGGUGAAAUCUUUCACUGGAAUGACCUGAUUAUGGAUGCGCUGGAAACUUGAGUACUAUAACGUGAUAUACUUAUAUGUCAAAAUCGAAUUUAAACUGAAUGAGAAAUGAGGAUUCUUAGAGAGUAUAGCUUGAAAGCUUAAAAAUAACAUAAGUUACCAAAUGACAAGUGUGAUUUGUCCCACAUUAGCAAUUCAACGUUACAUUUUGAACGUAGUGUUACGUUCUCCCCUUGAUAAUACUCAAUAGAUCUGCUUCUAGCCUGUCCCAACAAUCUGAUUCGGAUUGAGAAUUGCGGUUUUUGCGAACGUUGUUAAAGAUUUCCAAAAAAAAAAAUAUUUCAUUACGGCUUUUCACAUCAAAUCGGAAAAACUCUGCUUAGUUUUAACUUUUUAGGGAAUUUGAUAAAUAUUUGACAAACUUUGUGAAAAUAACUUUUGGAGUAGCAAAAUUCCGCAAAAAAAAAAAAAAAACUCAGAGUAAACUUACUGACAAAAGAAAAAAGUUUCCUCAAGUUGGUUUAGUCGCAUUCCUUUUGUCAAGCACUUAAUCCACUACAAAGACGUUUUGUUGUAAUUUAACCGAACUGAACAAUCAUUCCAAAUCUUAAUAAGCAGCUAAAGAGAGACAUUGAGAGACCAAGAUAAACCGGUUUACUUGCACCUACUUGCUGUUUGUUAAAGCUUUGGUUACAAAAUGUGAAACGAUUCCAACCGGACAGAAGAGAAGGCACAAUGAAACCGAAUGCCUCGUCUCAAUCUUAUUCUCUAGCCCAUCAUUAAAAACUUGCCUGCAGAGAAACACUCAAAACAUGAGUUAUAAGAAACAUGCUAGGAUCAAUCAGAACCUGAAAAGUGCAAUAUAGUACCUUGCAGCGAAAAGAUCUAUAACAAGAAGAUGAAUCCAAGCAGAAGCAAGAGUCAUUUCACUUGAGAACAUUUUCGCUAUUCCAGACAACUGCAAAUGAAAAAAAAAAAAAGAAAUUUUAGAAACUGGAAUGUACACAUUUUCUUGUUUUCGAUAUUUCCUGAUAAUUGGAGGAAAAAGCUAAAACCUCUGGCAACAUGUAUUUACUGGAAAACAUGUAUUUGAGAGUAUCAGGCGUCCAAGAAAGGUAUAACAAAUACGCGUAUAAUACGCCUAAGACGAUAUACGGUAUGCUACUCUCCAUACACUUUUUGGUCUGCACAAGGAGAAAACAUACACUCAAUUCAAUAUGAACUUUUUUGAUUCUGCACAAGAAGUUGUAAAACUGCUAAACAAAAACUCACAAUUUCAGCUUUUGGAGCUACAACCAUUAGAGUGUAAAAGGGUAAAACAGCGGUUGUUCCAACCGCAAAUACACUGCUUGCAAUCUGAGAAGUAGCUAUCCCUGCACAAGAACAUGUUAUGUCUCUGUCCUACUUUCAAUUUAAACAUUGAAGAGCUAUAGAUUCUAGACAUAUAUCAAGCCUCUUUUUGGUUUAUAAUGUUUCAGUUAAGAGACAUUACAUGAAGCUCGUACACCAGAGGAUUUCUUUUGAACAAGAGAGGACGAGUUCGAUGAAACAUUAGGGAAAAGUGCGAUUUUUGAUCCUCCGAUAAAGCUCCAACGAUUCUGAAGUCGAAUACUUGACGAACCAACGCAUAGUUUAGACUUGACAUUGCUGAGAGAAAGACUUGUUAUCGAGCUCUUAGCUGAAAUGUUGCGAUUCAUCAUCUGAAUCACCAAACAAAAUGAAUCAAUCUGAUGAAAUAUAAAAAACUUCUUUAUUUCUUAAAAUUUAGGAAUCUGAGACCAAAAGCACUUUGAUCUGAACAACAACGAAUCAGGAACAGAGUUAGGUUCUGUAACAGGGACCCAUGAGGAGUAAAUUCAACUUCUUUAAUGUCUGCGUCAAUUCGAUCUGAUUCAAAGGAUAAAACUUUAAGGUUACCCAUAAGGAAUCUGAACUAUUCGAAAUUGUAGAAAGCUCGACAUAAGAAUCUAAUCCGACAAUCUCCAACAACUGUACAUACAUACAUACAUACAUACAUACAUGAUACAUACAUACAUACAUACACACACAUAGAUAUAGACAUAUAUCUGCGUAUACCGAAAAUUGGAGAAGAAUUGAAAAAGGAAGAGAAAAGGUAGAUACCGAGAGAGAUGAAGAAGACAAAGGCUGGGAAAUGCAAGAAGAUAAAGCCAUCUGCGAUUCAAAUCUUCAAUAGUCUUUGCCAGAAUUUGGCCAUUCAUUACCUUCUUCAACGAGCUCUCUCCAUAUAUAUAUGUAAAGUAUCAAUUUUUAGAGAGGAGAGUUGAGAGUUUUCCACUGGUUGAAAAGGGUAAGUGGAGAAGAAGCUAAGAGAAAAAGUGCUCACUCACUCUUUCUUCAUCAGUGUGGACAAUUAUAGUUGCUCAUCCACCCGAAUUUUUUAAAAAAGUUUUGGUCUUUUUUAGUUUUCCUCGUUUACUUCUGUUUCGCAUAAACAAAAAAAAAAGAAAAAACCAUUAUGAGUUUGAGUUAAUUUUAAAGAGAAAAUCAAAUUUAAAGAUUCUUUAUAUUGUAUGUUCAAAAUUGCAAUAUAUUAUGGAAAAAAAGAGAAGAUUUUUUCCUAAUUUUAGAUAAAAACCUUUAAUAAAAAUCAAAAAAUUAUUAAGAUAUUAAUUUAACCUUAUAUUUUAGAUAUUGUUCUUUUUCUGGUCAAUAUAAAAAAUUACAGUUUACCAUUCUUAUAUAAAAAAAAAUUAAUUAGACUCAAAUGGAAUGUUUUUAUUUUUUUAACAAGAAUAUAACUUUCAUAGAACCUAAUACCCAAAAAAAAAACAUUUGACCCGACUAAAUUAAAAUUCAAGGAAAGAUUGGAGCUUUGAUCCUUUACUCGAUAAAAAAAAGGUUCUUCAUUGUAUGAUCAAAUGACUUGUCGGAUUGUAUUUGUAGGUGGCUCAUCGUAGGAUUAAUAGCUUCUCGGAUUUUGUUAUCCUUGUCUUGUGUUUUGCUUUUUCCGUGAAGAUCAAAAUUUUCUUCUAUACAUUCCUGCUAUAUAUUCCAUCAUGUUCUACCGGUUACACUUAUAAGCCUAUAAGGAUAUCUAAUCUACUUUUUUAUUUGAUAAAAACCUAAUAUCUUUGUUAAUGGAUAUUUGUGCUUAAACUGAAUUUAGACACAACACAGGUCUAGUUCAGGACAGAACAAGACAAAAGUGACAGUGCUACUUCUACUCAGCAGUGGUUGUGACUUCCUCUAAAGACAAAAGUUGGUGUUUCCACCAUUAUUUCGGUUUUGCUUUUAUUAUAUAUUUUAUUUUAAUUUAUUUUUCGCUACAUGAGAAUUGCAUUAACGAAGGACAUUAUAUAUGAAAACAAAAAAAAACAAUAAAAAGAUAUACAUACAUGUGUCUGACACUCAUUGUUUGUGAAAUCAGUUGGGAGUAAGAUAGCGCUUGAGUGGGCUAUUUGGUAUGAUAGCUUCUCUCUAUUGAUGGGCCUUAUUGACCCACCCCACUUCAGUUUUGUUUAGUCAUUCACAACAAGAAAAACAUGAAAACAAAAGCAACACUUGUCUUUUCUAUCUCUCAAUCUGUAAGUGGUAUAUGCGCAUUUCGUUGAAUUCGAUUGAGACCAAAACUCUUUUAAAACAUAAUGUAUAGUUCUUAGGAUUAUAUGGGGAAAAUAUAUGAUGUCUCAAAGAUUUUUCAUAACAUAUUAUAUUCCUUAUAAUAAAAGGUCACCUGGGGUUUUUCUAUAAACCGGGGUUUUUUUAUAAACCGCCGGCUUUUCUAUAAACCGCCGGCUUUGUCUCUGGAGAUGUUGUAUCAUCUGCCGGCUUUGUGUAAUCCGUUGGCUUUGCUCUGUAACACUAUGGUGAUCAAUAUAAUAAUAUUCAAUGAAAAAAAAAAAAGGUCACCUAAAUAAUUAAAAAUUUGAAUUUUUACGACUCAUAUUUCUAUCCUAUUCCAAAGCUAGGAAAACAACAUAAAGAGUUACAAAUUCUUACUAUAUAGUACUUCCAACAAUAUCUUUAUGUAAAUUUGUGCCAAGUCAUUUUGAGUGGAAAAUGUAGAAUAUAUGAUCCACAAGAUCCUUGAAUAUACUUGGGUAUAUAGAAAUAAAAAUGAAUAUCCGAGACUCUUAUCUACAAGCCUAUCCUUAAGAAGGCACGUCCACGAAUGUUUCUAUCACAGAUUUUCAGUGGGCCAUCAUCUAUUACUUCAAGAUAUUGUUCUAAAAAUGCAUCUCAACCUCAAGCUUACUAAUCAUGUGACAAAAGUGAUAAUGUGAAUCUAGUUUUUCAAAUAAUUUCUUUAUUCAAUGACGACUAAUCAAAGAGUUGGUAUAUUUUUGUAUUCACAGUUCUUCAACUUUGUAUAUUUUCAUAUCUUGAGCCGCAUUGUAAUUUGUUUUUUCUUAUAUGCAAAAUUCAAAAUCAAAGAUUUAUAGAACAUUACAUAUUUAUUUCAUCAGACAUUUGAGAAUCCGAUAGAAAAUGUCUCGCAAACCGGAAAACAAACGUUAAAUCCGGAAAUUAAAACAAAACUAAGGAAACCAAAAAAAAAAAAGCAGAUGAUAAAAUCAAAGGUGAGGAGGGAGAUAAAGUUUUUUUUUUUUGAUGUUUACACAAAGCAAAGAAGCAGUGAAAUUAAGCAUCGGUGAAGCUUGCUGGCUUGUAGGCGAUGAAACUGAUGCACUGGACUUGACGGGUGUUGUCGAAUCCGAUGAUCCUAAUGAAGGCCUGGGGGUACUCCUUCUUGCACUCUUGCACUUCCUUCAACACUUGAGCUGAGUCAGUGCAUCCGAACAAAGGAAGCUUCCACAUUGUCCAGUACCGUCCAUCGUAGUAUCCGGGAGUGCUUCCGUGCUCACGGUGCACAAAUGCGUUCUACAAAAACACAUUACACAAAACCAUUCAAAAACAUAAAUCAAGAUUCUGCUUAGGACCUCUAAAUAGUUAUUAACUUGAUUGCAAGAUUCAUAUGGUCCAAGAGAUCAAGCUACUCUAUAAAUGAUUUUUAUUACCUCCAACUCGAAUUCAACACAGGGAAUCCACUUGUUGCGGAGAAGGUAGUCAACUUCCUUAGCCAAUUCAACUUCGGUUAGGUCAGGAAGGUAAGAGAGAGUCUCAAACUUCUUCUUACCAAUAGGAGGCCACACCUAUUUUUUGCCAUUUUUCCAAAAUCAACAAAAACAAUAUUAGUUUAUAUGAUUCGAUAAAUCAAAAACCCAUAAAUUUGUUUUUGGUAUAAGAGAUUUGACCUGCAUGCAGUUAACUCUUCCGCCGUUGCUUGCGAUGGAAGUAAUGUCGUUGUUGGCCUUACGGGUCACAGGGAAAGCAGCGGAGGACUUAAGUCCGGUGAAAGGUGCGACCAUUGUGGCCUGAGCCGGAGAAGCGACCAUUGUAGCGGAAGAGAGCAUAGAGGAAGCCAUAUUGCCUUUACUCUUUUUGUGUGUGACUUAGGUUUGGUCUAGUGCUUUGGUCAUCUAUAUAUAAUGGUAACAACAAUGAUAACAAGGUGAGGGAGUGAUCGGAGGGCUCA